Molecule: transfer RNA, 87 nt
Filed under: Peptococcaceae bacterium
Lineage: Bacteria; Bacillati; Bacillota; Clostridia; Eubacteriales; Peptococcaceae
Also listed under: 1 other name
Description: tRNA-Leu
Rfam family: tRNA
About the family: Transfer RNA (tRNA) molecules are approximately 80 nucleotides in length.
Source: RNAcentral
GCGGAAGUGGUGGAAUUGGCAGACACGCUAGUUUGAGGGACUAGUGCCUGAAAAGGUAUGCGGGUUCAAAUCCCGCCUUCCGCACCA